GAUGAACGCUGGCGGCGUGCCUAACACAUGCAAGUCGAACGGAGAUUACGGACGGUAGUUUGCGGAUGGAAGACUGUACUUCUUAGUGGCGGACGGGUGAGUAACCCGUGGGCAACCUGUACUAUACAGGGGGAUAGCAGCUGGAAACGGCUGGUAAGACCGCAUAAGUCGGCGGGAGCGCAUGGUUUUGCGGGGGAGUGGGCAUUCAGGUAUAGGAUGGGCCCGCGUCGGUUUAGCCAGUUGGCAGUGUAGAAGCAUACCAAAGCAACGAGCGUGAGCCGGACGGAGAGGUCGCACGGCCACAUUGGGAAUGAGACACGGACCAAUCUCCUACGGGAGGCAGCAGUGGGUGAUAUUGCACAAUGGAGGCAAAUCUGAUGCAGCGGCGCCGCGUGAGUGAAGAAGUAUGUCGGUAUGUAAAGCUCUAUCAGCAGGGAAGAUGAUGACGGUACCUGAUUAAGAAGCCCCGGCUAACUACGUG
RNAcentral lists this ribosomal RNA (481 nucleotides) under uncultured bacterium. RNAcentral's name for it is "partial 16S ribosomal RNA". It matches the Rfam family "Bacterial small subunit ribosomal RNA", at positions 28 to 507 of the family's 1533-position model. The record is from RNAcentral.